UACAGAGGGUGCAAGCGUUGCUCGGAAUUAUUGGGCGUAAAGGGCAGGUAGGUGGUCUUGUUUGUCAGAGGUGAAAUCCCUGGGCUUAACCUAGGAAGGGCCUCUGAAACGGCAAGACUCGAGUACUGGAGAGGGUCGUGGAAUUCCCGGUGUAGCGGUGAAAUGCGUAGAGAUCGGGAGGAACACCAGAGGCGAAGGCGGCGACCUGGACAGUCACUGACACUCAACUGCGAAAGCGUGGGGAGCAAACAG
Molecule: ribosomal RNA, 252 nt
Filed under: uncultured bacterium
Lineage: Bacteria
Description: partial 16S ribosomal RNA
Rfam family: Bacterial small subunit ribosomal RNA
Source: RNAcentral